CCUACGUGAGGCAGCAGUGGGGAAUAUUGCACAAUGGGCGAAAGCCUGAUGCAGCAACGCCGCGUGAGCGAUGAAGGCCUUCGGGUCGUAAAGCCCUGUCAGCAGGGAAGAAAAUGACGGUACCUGAAGAAGAAGCCCCGGCUAACUACGGGCCAGAAGCCGCGGUAAUAAGUAGGGGGCAAGGGGUAUCCGGAUUUACUGGGGGUAAAGGGGGCGCAGACGGCGAUGCAAGCCAGGAGUGAAAGCCCGGGGCCCAACCCCGGGACGGCUCUUGGAACUGCGUGGCUGGAGUGCAGGAGGGGCAGGCGGAAUUCCUGGUGUAGCGGUGAAAUGCGUAGAUAUCAGGAGGAACACCGGUGGCGAAGGCGGCCUGCUGGACUGCAACUGACGUUGAGGCCCGAAAGCGUGGGGAGCAAACAGGAUUAGAUACCCGAGUAGUC
RNAcentral lists this ribosomal RNA (440 nucleotides) under uncultured bacterium. Its description in RNAcentral is "partial 16S ribosomal RNA". It matches the Rfam family "Bacterial small subunit ribosomal RNA", at positions 338 to 795 of the family's 1533-position model. The record is from RNAcentral.